This 856-nucleotide ribosomal RNA is filed under the name uncultured bacterium. RNAcentral describes it as "bacterial SSU rRNA". It matches the Rfam family "Bacterial small subunit ribosomal RNA", at positions 15 to 882 of the family's 1533-position model. The record is from RNAcentral.
GAUCCUGGCUCAGGACGAACGCUGGCGGCGCGCCUAACACAUGCAAGUCGAACGGAGUCAAGAGGAGCUUGCUUUUCUUGACUUAGUGGCGAACGGGUGAGUAACGCGUGAGUAACCUGCCCUGGAGUGGGGGACAACAGUUGGAAACGACUGCUAAUACCGCAUAAGCCCACGGCCCGGCAUCGGGCUGCGGGAAAGGGAUUUAUUCGCUUCAGGAUGGACUCGCGUCCAAUUAGCUAGUUGGUGAGGUAACGGCCCACCAAGGCGACGAUUGGUAGCCGGACUGAGAGGUUGAACGGCCACAUUGGGACUGAGACACGGCCCAGACUCCUACGGGAGGCAGCAGUGGGGGAUAUUGCACAAUGGGGGAAACCCUGAUGCAGCGACGCCGCGUGGAGGAAGAAGGUUUUCGGAUUGUAAACUCCUGUCGUUAGGGACGAUAAUGACGGUACCUAACAAGAAAGCACCGGCUAACUACGUGCCAGCAGCCGCGGUAAAACGUAGGGUGCAAGCGUUGUCCGGAAUUACUGGGUGUAAAGGGAGCGCAGGCGGACCGGCAAGUUGGAAGUGAAAACUAUGGGCUCAACCCAUAAAUUGCUUUCAAAACUGCUGGCCUUGAGUAGUGCAGAGGUAGGUGGAAUUCCCGGUGUAGCGGUGGAAUGCGUAGAUAUCGGGAGGAACACCAGUGGCGAAGGCGACCUACUGGGCACCAACUGACGCUGAGGCUCGAAAGCAUGGGUAGCAAACAGGAUUAGAUACCCUGGUAGUCCAUGCCGUAAACGAUGAUUACUAGGUGUUGGAGGAUUGACCCCUUCAGUGCCGCAGUUAACACAAUAAGUAAUCCACCUGGGGAGUA